Molecule: ribosomal RNA, 400 nt
Filed under: uncultured bacterium
Lineage: Bacteria
Description: bacterial SSU rRNA
Rfam family: Bacterial small subunit ribosomal RNA
Source: RNAcentral
GGGGAAUAUUGGACAAUGGGGGAAACCCUGAUCCAGCCAUGCCGCGUGAGUGAUGAAGGCCUUCGGGUUGUAAAGCUCUUUUAUAGGGGAAGAUAAUGACGGUACCCUAAGAAUAAGCACCGGCAAACUUCGUGCCAGCAGCCGCGGUAAUACGAAGGGUGCAAGCGUUGUUCGGAAUGACUGGGCGUAAAGGGCGAGUAGGCGGUUAGACAAGUUAGGUGUGAAAGGCCUGGGCUCAACCUGGGAAUUGCACUUAAGACUGUCUGGCUUGAGUAUGGGAGAGGAUAGCGGAAUUCCAAGUGUAGAGGUGAAAUUCGUAGAUAUUUGGAAGAACACCGGUGGCGAAGGCGGCUAUCUGGACCAUAACUGACGCUGAGGCGCGAAAGCGUGGGGAGCAAAC